Molecule: ribosomal RNA, 705 nt
Filed under: uncultured bacterium
Lineage: Bacteria
Description: bacterial SSU rRNA
Rfam family: Bacterial small subunit ribosomal RNA
Source: RNAcentral
CCUGCCCCUGUCAGGGGGACAACCCGCCGAAAGGCGGGCUAAACCCGCGUACAUGCCACCGGGGCAUCCCGGAGGCAGGAAAGGCUUCGGCCGGACAGGGAUGGGCAUGCGGCGCAUUAGGCAGUAGGCGGGGUAACGGCCCACCUAACCGACGAUGCGUAGGGGUUCUGAGAGGAAGGUCCCCCACACUGGUACUGAGACACGGACCAGACUCCUACGGGAGGCAGCAGUGAGGAAUAUUGGUCAAUGGUCGGGAGACUGAACCAGCCAAGCCGCGUGAGGGAUGAAGGUACAGAGUAUCGUAAACCUCUUUUGUCAGGGAACAAAGGCGGGGACGUGUCCCCGGAUGAGUGUACCUGAAGAAAAAGCAUCGGCUAACUCCGUGCCAGCAGCCGCGGUAAUACGGAGGAUGCGAGCGUUAUCCGGAUUUAUUGGGUUUAAAGGGUGCGCAGGCGGUCUGUUAAGUCAGCGGUCAAAGCCCGGGGCUCAACCCCGGCCCGCCGUUGAAACUGGCAGUCUCGAGUUGGAGAGAAGUAUGCGGAAUGCGCGGUGUAGCGGUGAAAUGCAUAGAUAUCGCGCAGAACUCCGAUUGCGAAGGCAGCAUGCCGGCUCCACACUGACGCUGAGGCACGAAAGCGUGGGUAUCGAACAGGAUUAGAUACCCUGGUAGUCCACGCAGUAAACGAUGAAUGCUGGCUGUCCGGG